AGGACGAACGCUGGCGGCGUGCCUAACACAUGCAAGUCGAACGAGGUCCAUGCAGUGGCAACACUGCGGAAGGCCUAGUGGCGAACGGGUGAGUAACACGUGAGGAACUUGCCCCGGAGACCGGGAUAACUCUCCGAAAGGAGAGCUAAUACCGGAUGUCCUCAUCGAGUCGCAUGGCUUGAUGAGGAAAUGGAUUCCGCUCCGGGAGAGCCUCGCGGCCUAUCAGCUAGUUGGUGGGGUAACGGCCCACCAAGGCAUCGACGGGUAGCUGGUCUGAGAGGACGAUCAGCCACACUGGGACUGAGACACGGCCCAGACUCCGUA
This 324-nucleotide ribosomal RNA is filed under the name uncultured soil bacterium. Its description in RNAcentral is "bacterial SSU rRNA". It matches the Rfam family "Bacterial small subunit ribosomal RNA", at positions 26 to 342 of the family's 1533-position model. The record is from RNAcentral.